AGCAUCAAGUGCAUCUGGAGCCCAAGAUGGUGGAGCUUCUAAAAGUCCAACAAGAAGCCUCUGUGUGGCACUUGGAGUUGCGAUUGCAUAAUAUCGAUGAAAUAAACGUGCAUAUGGCUCAAGUGGUGGUAGUCCUGCAACGAGGUGCUCAUCCAUAGGCGUUGUUGGAGGUGGAAGCAGAAGUGCAGGAACAGCGGCUGCAGUCAAGGUAGCAGUCUCGUAGCGAGAAACUUCCUCAUCACAAACACUUAAAAUAACGCCAGCACCAUUAGCAACAGCCCACCUUGGAGUUGCAGGCAGUAGUUGUGGAUGCUUCCCAGACCCAUGAGAAGCAGCACUUGAUGGGGGCUUGAGAUCUCCAGCAGCAUACUUUCCCAUAACACCGCCACACCAGCGGAAGUAAUCGCUUCUAAUCCCUAGUGGUGCAGCAAGCAAUAUAUCAGUGAUCCACGGAGACAAUGGUCUCAGCAGUUUUCUCUCAUGUUGUAUAGAGGGCACACCAGGUUCACUAGAGGAAGAUUCACUUGUCGAAGUGUGGCUUCCACUGGUGCUUCUAUCUGUUCCUUUGUCCUGACGAUCAACUUUGAAAAUCGGGCGGUUGUAGUGUGUUAGGAUACGUAAAAUCUCUCCACAUGCAAGAGCCCAUUGUUCAGAAUAUUCCUUCUCACUGCUUGAGCAAACCAGUGAUAUAAAAGAAGCAAAAGGUGGACUACUUUUAUCAUACUCCAGUGUUCCAUCAAUGAUGCAUGAAAUAAUUGGAUGAACUACAGCAUGCCCAUGCUCUGGGUGAUGAAGAACAAAAGUUGCUAAAACAUCAUCAAAAAGUCUGUUCUCCUUCGAUGGAUACCGGUUCCUUAUGAGCUCAGCUAUAUCUUCAGGAAAUUGUUCUGAUGUGAACUGACCAAAGUAUUUAACAUAAGCGGUAAUUUGAUCCUUCCGCUGCUCUGCAGCUUGUGGAGGAACCCAAAAUAAUGAAGAGAAAUGAAGACUAUCAAUCCACCUUUCGCUUGAAGAAGCCAUACAACUUAGAGCUUCAAGCUAGUCCCUUUAAUAUUAUAACCAGCUUAUGGCAGUUGUAGAUUUCACUAUUUUACUGUGAAGAAGACAAUAAUAAAAUACCACUUUUAUCCGGAGAUGUGAAUUGAGUAAACUGUUGAGGGUAAAUCUGGAAAAAAAUGAAGGAUUUAAGUGAAGAUAUUUUAGGGAUUUGGAGAGAAAAAAAAAUACA
RNAcentral lists this unclassified non-coding RNA (1228 nucleotides) under Hevea brasiliensis (rubber tree). Lineage: Eukaryota; Viridiplantae; Streptophyta; Magnoliopsida; Malpighiales; Euphorbiaceae. The record is from RNAcentral.